CGCUGCCGCAUGGCAGAGGGUGGAAAGAUUUAUCGGUGCAGGAUGGGCCCGCGUCGGAUUAACUAGUUGGCAGGGUAACGGCCUACCAAGGUGAUGAUCCGUAGCCGACCUGAGAGGGUGACCGGCCACAUUGGGACUGAGACACGGCCCAAACUCCUACGGGAGGCAGCAGUGGGGGAUAUUGCACAAUGGGCGCAAGCCUGAUGCAGCGACGCCGCGUGAAGGAAGAAGUAUUUCGGUAUGUAAACUUCUAUCAGCGGGGAAGAAGAUGACGGUACCCGACUAAGAAGCCCCGGCUAACUACGUGCCAGCAGCCGCGGUAAUACGUAGGGGGCAAGCGUUAUCCGGAUUUACUGGGUGUAAAGGGAGCGUAGACGGCAGGGCAAGUCCGAUGUGAAAACCCGGGGCUCAACCGCGGGAUUGCAUUGGAAACUGCUCAGCUCGAGUACUGGAGGGGUAAGCGGAAUUCCUAGUGUAGCGGUGAAAUGCGUAGAUAUUAGGAGGAACACCGGCGGCGAAGGCGGCUUACUGGACAGUAACUGACGUUGAGGCUCGAAAGCGUGGGGAGCAAACAGGAUUA
RNAcentral lists this ribosomal RNA (580 nucleotides) under uncultured rumen bacterium. Its description in RNAcentral is "bacterial SSU rRNA". It matches the Rfam family "Bacterial small subunit ribosomal RNA", at positions 181 to 780 of the family's 1533-position model. The record is from RNAcentral.